GAAUACAUAAUUAGUUUUCAUCACCAGAAGCCAAUAUUAUUCAUCCAUUGCGUGCAAUAACAUAAUGAAUAUUC
This is a small nucleolar RNA of Caenorhabditis elegans, 74 nucleotides long. NCBI's taxonomy places the organism in Eukaryota, Metazoa, Nematoda, Chromadorea, Rhabditida, Rhabditidae. The record is from Ensembl.